This 2967-nucleotide small RNA is filed under the name Pan troglodytes (chimpanzee). RNAcentral describes it as "processed transcript". The record is from RNAcentral. Lineage: Eukaryota; Metazoa; Chordata; Mammalia; Primates; Hominidae.
AAAAAGGGUUUACCAAUGAGACACAUGUUGCCUCCUUCAUGGAAACCCUAGGAGAAGAAACGGACAGAUUCCCCUUCCCUGCCUCCGCCCCAGCCCAGCCCCAGCGGUCCGUCUCACUCGGUUGUUGCUGUAAUGCUGGUCUCCUGUCUGUGUGCGGCACUGCAGAUGUGGCGGGCAGGGGCGUGGGAGCUCUGGGGCAGGCGCUGAAGGCAGGAGAAGGGCCAGAGAAUGUCGUCCCAGCCAGCAGGGAACCAGACCUCCCCCGGGGCCACAGAGGACUACUCCUAUGGCAGCUGGUACAUCGAUGAGCCCCAGGGGGGUGAGGAGCUCCAGCCAGAGGGGGGGGCCUGACGCAGGCCUGAGCCAGCCUUCAUUUGCUCUGCAGGGAAGUGCCCUCCUGCCACACCAGCGUACCACCCGGCCUGUACCACGCCUGCCUGGCCUCGCUGUCAAUCCUCGUGCUGCUGCUCCUGGCCGUGCUGGUGAGGCGCCGCCAGCUCUGGCCUGACUGUGUGCGUGGCAGGCCCGGCCUGCCCAGCCCUGUGGAUUUCUUGGCUGAGGACAGGCCCCGGGCAGUGCCUGCUGCUGUUUUCAUGGUCCUCUUGAGCUCCCUGUGUUUGCUGCUCCCCGACGAGGAUCCAUUGCCCUUCCUGACUCUCGCCUCAGCACCCAGCCAAGAUGGGAAAACUGAGGCUCCAAGAGGGGCCUGGAAGAUACUGGGACUGUUCUAUUAUGCUGCCCUCUACUACCCUCUGGCUGCCUGUGCCACGGCUGGCCACACAACUGCACACCUGCUCGGCAGCACGCUGUCCUGGGCCCACCUUGGGGUCCAGGUCUGGCAGAGGGCAGAGUGUCCCCAGGUGCCCAAGAUCUACAAGUACUACUCCCUGCUGGCCUCCCUGCCUCUCCUGCUGGGCCUCGGAUUCCUGAGCCUUUGGUACCCUGUGCAGCUGGUGAGAAGCUUCAGCUGUAGGACAGGAGCAGGCUCCAAGGGGCUGCAGAGCAGCUACUCUGAGGAAUAUCUGAGGAACCUCCUUUGCAGGAAGAAGCUGGGAAGCAGCUACCACACCUCCAAGCAUGGCUUCCUGUCCUGGGCCCGCGUCUGCUUGAGACACUGCAUCUACACUCCACAGCCAGGAUUCCGUCUCCCGCUGAAGCUGGUGCUUUCAGCUACACUGACAGGGACGGCCAUUUACCAGGUGGCCCUGCUGCUGCUGGUGGGCGUGGUACCCACCAUCCAGAAGGUGAGGGCAGGGGUCACCACGGAUGUCUCCUACCUGCUGGCCGGCUUUGGAAUCGUGCUCUCCGAGGACAAGCAGGAGGUGGUGGAGCUGGUGAAGCACCAUCUGUGGGCUCUGGAAGUGUGCUACAUCUCAGCCUUGGUCUUGUCCUGCUUACUCACCUUCCUGGUCCUGAUGCGCUCACUGGUGACACACAGGACCAACCUUCGAGCUCUGCACCGAGGAGCUGCCCUGGACUUGAGUCCCUUGCAUCGGAGUCCCCAUCCCUCCCGCCAAGCCAUAUUCUGUUGGAUGAGCUUCAGUGCCUACCAGACAGCCUUUAUCUGCCUUGGGCUCCUGGUGCAGCAGAUCAUCUUCUUCCUGGGAACCACGGCCCUGGCCUUCCUGGUGCUCAUGCCUGUGCUUCAUGGCAGGAACCUCCUGCUCUUCCGUUCCCUGGAGUCCUCGUGGUGAGUGAAACAAGACAUGGAGGGCUCAGGGACUCCUUAGAGGUCCGCUAACAGCGACCACCUCCCCACCCCACUGGCAGGCCCUUCUGGCUGACUUUGGCCCUGGCUGUGAUCCUGCAGAACAUGGCAGCCCAUUGGGUCUUCCUGGAGACUCAUGAUGGACACCCACAGCUGACCAACCGGCGAGUGCUCUAUGCAGCCACCUUUCUUCUCUUCCCCCUCAAUGUGCUGGUGGGUGCCAUGGUGGCCACCUGGCGAGUGCUCCUCUCUGCCCUCUACAACGCCAUCCACCUUGGCCAGAUGGACCUCAGCCUGCUGCCACCGAGAGCCGCCACUCUCGACCCCGGCUACUACAUGUACCGAAACUUCUUGAAGAUUGAAGUCAGCCAGUCGCAUCCAGCCAUGACAGCCUUCUGCUCCCUGCUCCUGCAAGCGCAGAGCCUCCUACCCAGGACCAUGGCAGCCCCCCAGGACAGCCUCAGACCAGGGGAGGAAGACGAAGGGAUGCAGCUGCUACAGACAAAGGACUCCAUGGCCAAGGGAGCUAGGCCCAGGGCCAGCCGCGGCAGGGCUCGCUGGGGUCUGGCCUACACGCUGCUGCACAACCCAACCCUGCAGGUCUUCCGCAAGACGGCCCUGUUGGGUGCCAAUGGUGCCCAGCCCUGAGGGCAGGGAAGGUCAACCCACCUGCCCAUCUGUGCUGAGGCAUGUUCCUGCCUACCAUCCUCCUCCCUCCCCGGCUCUCCUCCCAGCAUCAUGCCAGCCAUGCAGCCAGCAGGUCCUCCGGAUCACCGUGGUUGGGUGGAGGUCUGUCUGCACUGGGAGCCUCAGGAGGGCUCUGCUCCACCCACUUGGCUAUGGGAGAGCCAGCAGGGGUUCUGGAGAAAGAAACUGGUGGGUUAGGGCCUUGGUCCAGGAGCCAGUCGAGCCAGGGCAGCCACAUCCAGGCGUCUCCCUGCCCUGGCUCUGCCAUCAGCCUUGAAGGGCCUCGAUGAAGCCUUCUCUGGAACCACUCCAGCCCAGCUCCACCUCGGCCUUGGCCUUCACGCUGUGGAAGCAGCCAAGGCACUUCCUCACCCCCUCAGCGCCACGGACCUCUCUGCGGAGUGGCUGGAAAGCUCCCGGGCCUCUGGCCUGCAGGGCAGCCCAAGUCAUGACUCAGACCAGGUCCCACACUGAGCUGCCCACACUCGAGAGCCAGAUAUUUUUGUAGUUUUUAUGCCUUUGGCUAUUAUGAAAGAGGUUAGUGUGUUCCCUGCAAUAAACUUGUUCCUGAG